RNAcentral lists this long non-coding RNA (3726 nucleotides) under Homo sapiens (human). Its description in RNAcentral is "non-protein coding lnc-AK5-1:3". Lineage: Eukaryota; Metazoa; Chordata; Mammalia; Primates; Hominidae. The record is from RNAcentral.
UUUGCCAUAUUUUAUGCUAUUGCUUUUCCCAUUCUCUUGUCUCUCUUUUCCUUUUAUUUGUUUCUUUUGCUAUUGCACUUUGUGAGAGGUUUCAUGCUAUUUAGUCAAAUUUAGGUUUUCCGUUACGUGAAUCCUAGAAAGUAAAUACACUGCCAGAAUAUCUUCCAUGUAUUCAUUAAUUCAACAGAUAUCUAUUGGAUGCUGAUGAUUAUGAAACAAAGUAGCAAAGAUAAGAAGCCAUUUGCUCAUUCUGCUCCUUUGCCAGCAAUAUUUCACAAAGCCCCUGACUCAUUGACUGUGAGCAGCCUUGUGGAAGAAUGCCUUGAAGACCAUAAGCAGGAUAGGGAAUAGGUUUGCACAUCUCUUGCCUGAAUCACUGAAUUUUUACAAAAGGUAAGUUUGGUGAUCCUAGCCCUUGCCUCUUCCUGUACAUAAGAUAAUGUCUGACAAGAUUAAUGAUUAUGCCUCAAAUUCAUGACCAGAUGUAACUUCAUACCCACACUUUGAUGAGACUUUACUUGUAUUAACCCAUUUUCAUACUGCUAUGAAGAAAUACCCAAGACUGCAUAAUUUCUAAAGAAAAAGGCUUAGUGGACUCACAGUUCCACAUGGCUGGGGAAGCCUCACAAUCAUGGUAGAAGAUGAAGAAGGAGCAAAGGCACAUCUUACAUGGCAGCAGGUGAGAGAGCAUGUGCAGAGGAACUACCCUUUAUAAAACCAUCAGAGGCCAGGUGCAGUGGCUCACACCUGUAAUCCUAGCACUUUGGGAGGCCGAGGCAGGCAGAUCAUCUGAGGUCAGGCAUUCAAGACCAGCCUGGCCAACAUGGCAAAACCCCAUGUUUCAAAAUUAGCUCAGUGUGGGGGCACAUGCCUGUAAUACCAGCUACUAGGGAGGCUGAGGCAGGAGAAUCGCUUGAACCUGGGAGGCAGAGGUUGCAGUGAGCCAAGAUCACGCUACUGUACUCCAGCCUGGGCAACAGAGCCAGACUUUGUCUCAAAAAAUAAAAUGAAAUAAAAUAAAAAUAAAUAAAUAGAUAGAUAAAUAAAACCAUCAGAGCUCGUGAGAACUCACUACCAUGACAACAUGAGGGUAACUGAUCCCAUAAUUAAAUUACUUCCCAUCAGGUCCCUCCCUUGACACUUGGGGAUUAUGGGAGCUACAAUUCAAGAUGAGAUUUGGGUUGGGACACAGCCAAACCAUAUCAUUCCACCCUGGCCCCUCCAAAAUCUCCUGUCCUCACAUUUCAAAAGCAAUCAUGCCUUACCAGCAGUCCCCCAAAGUCUUAACUCAUUUCAGCAUUAACUCAAAAGUCUACAGUCCAAAGUCUCAUCUGAGACAAGGCAAGUCCCUUCUGCCUAUGAGCUUGUAAAAUCAUAAGCAAGUUAAGUUACUUCCUAAAUACAAUGGGGGUACAAGCAUUGGGUAAAUACACCCAUUCCAAAUGGGAGAAAUAGGCCAAAAUGAAGGGACUACAGGGCCCAUGCAAGUCCAAAAUCCAGCAGGGCAGUCAAAUCUUAAAGCUCCAAAAUGAUCUGCUUUGACUCCGUGUCUCACAUCCAGUUCACGUUGAUACAAGAGGUAGGUUGCCAUGGUCUUGGGCAGCUCUGCCCCUGUGGCUUUGCAAGAUACAGCCUCCUUCCCAGCUGCUUUAACAGGCUGGCAUUGAGUGUCUCUGGCUUUCCCAGGCAUAUGCUGCAAGCUGUUGGUGGAUCUACCAUCCUGGGGUCUGGAGGAUGGUGGCCCUCUUCUCACAGCUCCACUAGGCACUGCCCCAGUGGGGACUCUGUGUGGGGGAUCCCACCCCACAUUUCCCUUCUGCAUUGCCCUUCUGCCUUAGCAGAGGUCGUGCAUGAGGGCCCUGCCCCUGCAGCACACCUCUGCCUGAACAUCCGGGUGUUUCCAUACAUCCUCUGAAAUCUAGGCAGGGUUCCCAAACCUCAAUUCUUGACUUCCGUGCACCCACAGUCCCAAUAUCACAUGUGAGCAGCCUGAGACUGCACAAAGCAGCAAGGCCCUGGGCCCAGCCCAUAAACCCAUUUUUCCUCCUUGGCCUCCUGGCUUGUGAUGAGAGGGACUUCCAGGAAGACCUCUUACAUGCCCUGGAGACAUUUUUCCCAUUGUCGUGGUAAUUAACAUGUGGCUUCUUGUUACUUAUGCAAAUUUCUGCAGCAGGCUUGAAUUUCUCCGCAAAAAAUGGGUUUUUCUUUUCUAUCACGUCAUCAGGCUGCAAGUUUUCCUUUUAUGCUCUGCUUCCUCUUGAACGCUUUGCCACUUAGAAAUUUCUUCCCUCAGGUACCCUAAAUCAUCUCUCUAAAGUUCAAAGUUCCACAGAUAACUAGGGCAGGGGCAAAAUGCCACCAGUCUCUUUGCUAAAGCAUAGCAAGAGUGACCUUUAUUCCAUUUCCCAACAAGUUCCUCAUCUCCAUCUGAGACCACCUCAGCCUGGACUUCUUUGUCCGUAUCCCUAUUAGCCUUCUGAUCAAAGCCAUUCAACAAGUCUCUAGGAAGUUCCAAACUUUCCUACAUCUUUCUGUCUUCUGAGCCCUCCAAGUCUCUAGGAAGUUCCAGAGUUUCCCACAUUUUCCUGUCUUCUUCUGAGCCCUCCAAACUGUUCCAACCUCUGCCUGUUACCCUGUUCCAAAGUUGCUUCAACAUUUUCUGUUAACCUUAUAGCAGAGCCCCACUACCUCAGUUCCAAUUUACUGUAUUAGUCCAUUUUCAUACUACUGUGAAGAAAUAGCCAAGACUGGGUAAUUUAUAAAGAAAAAGAGGUUCAGUGGACUCACAGUUCCACAUGGCUGGGGAGGCCUCACAAUCGUGACAGAAGGCAAAGGAGGAGCAAAGACACAUCUUACCUGGCAGCAAGGCAAGAGAGAGAGCAUGUGCGGAGGAACUGCCCUUUAUGAAACCAUCAGAUUUCCUGAGAUUUAUUCACUAUCAUGAGACCAGCAGGGGAAAAACUUGCCCCCAUGAUUAAAUUACUUCCCACCGGGUCCUACCAUUGACACAUGGGGAUUAUGGGAGCUACAAUUCAAGAUGAGAUUUGAGUGGGGACACAGCCAAACCAUGUCAUUAAUGUAAUUUCUGAGCACAUUUGAUGUAACUUCUUAACACAUGCAGAGCAACCACCACCUAUGUUUAAGCUAUGGGGUGAAUCAAUGCUUUGCAGCAAUAUAACAAACUCUUUGAAAGAUUCUCCCAGGUUGCAGUACUCAGUAGGACUUCUGAAUAAAAUUAACUUUAAUUAUUUAAAAGCCUGUUUUUUUUUCUUUAGUUGACAUAACAUACCAGGAUAUUGUAGCUGGAAAUACAUAGGAGGUUCUUGCUCUCACGAACCUUACAUUCCAGUAAGGAAAACAGACAAUAAGAAAAAAGAAAAAUGAAUACAAUAAAUUCUCAUGGUGAUACAAAUAAGGUAAGAUGACAGAAACUGAAGGGAGAGGGAGACACUACUUCAGUGAGGUGGUCAGUGAAAACCUCUCUGCAAAGGUGGUGUGAAAUCUGAGACCUGAAUGACAAGAAAGAACUAGCGAUGCAAACAUCUGCGGGUGGCACAUUUCUAAUAUUUAUUUUUUACUAGUUUUAUUUUGUGUUAAUUUUACGUUUAACUAUCUGGAAUAUAUUUUGGUACAGGAGUCCCCCUUAUCCAAGGGGGAUAUGUAUCAAGCCCCCCAGUGGAUACCUGAAAUCACAGAUAGCGCUGAACCCUAUAUGUACUGUUUUUU